This 170-nucleotide unclassified non-coding RNA is filed under the name rhizosphere metagenome. RNAcentral's name for it is "partial ribosomal RNA internal transcribed spacer region". The record is from RNAcentral.
GAGAUAGCUUCUAAACAAAGCGAACCUCCCACCCGUGUUUAUUACAUCUUGUUGCUUUGGCGUCCCACAUCACGUGAGCGCCAAGGACAUAAUUGAACUCUGUAUGAAGUUUGCAGUCUGAGAAUAUAACUUAAUUAGUUAAAACUUUCAACAACGGAUCUCUUGGUUCC